GGCAGUGCGGCAGCCUACACAUGCAAGUCGAGCGGCAGCGGGGAGUAGCUUGCUACUUUGCCGGCGAGCGGCGGACGGGUGAGUAAUGCUUGGGAACUUGCCUUUAGGAGGGGGAUAACCACGGGAAACUGUGGCUAAUACCGCAUAAUGUCUACGGACCAAAGCAGGGGCUCUUCGGACCUUGCACCUAGAGAUAGGCCCAAGUGAGAUUAGCUAGUUGGUGGGGUAAAGGCCCACCAAGGCGACGAUCUCUAGCUGUUCUGAGAGGAUGAUCAGCCACACUGGGACUGAGACACGGCCCAGACUCCUACGGGAGGCAGCAGUGGGGAAUAUUGCACAAUGGGGGAAACCCUGAUGCAGCCAUGCCGCGUGUGUGAAGAAGGCCUUCGGGUUGUAAAGCACUUUCAGUGGUGAGGAAGGAUGUAAGAUUAAUACUCUUGCAUAUUGACGUUAGCCACAGAAGAAGCACCGGCUAACUCCGUGCCAGCAGCCGCGGUAAU
Molecule: ribosomal RNA, 500 nt
Filed under: Pseudidiomarina andamanensis
Lineage: Bacteria; Pseudomonadati; Pseudomonadota; Gammaproteobacteria; Alteromonadales; Idiomarinaceae
Description: bacterial SSU rRNA
Rfam family: Bacterial small subunit ribosomal RNA
Source: RNAcentral